RNAcentral lists this non-coding RNA (31 nucleotides) under Rattus norvegicus (Norway rat). The record is from RNAcentral. Lineage: Eukaryota; Metazoa; Chordata; Mammalia; Rodentia; Muridae.
UGAUCGUAGGCACUGCUUUGUUGCUUCAGUA